AGAGUUUGAUCCUGGCUCAGGAUGAACGCUGGCGGCGUGCUUAACACAUGCAAGUCGAACGAAGCAUUUUGGAUGAGAUCUUCGGAUGGAUUUUUAGAAUGACUUAGUGGCGGACGGGUGAGUAACGCGUGGGCAACCUGCCUUAUACAGGGGGAUAACAGUUAGAAAUGACUGCUAAUACCGCAUAAGCGCACGGCUCCGCAUGGAGCGGUGUGAAAAACUGAGGUGGUAUAAGAUGGACCCGCGUCUGAUUAGCUGGUUGGUGGGGUAACGGCCUACCAAGGCGACGAUCAGUAGCCGACCUGAGAGGGUGACCGGCCACAUUGGGACUGAGACACGGCCCAAACUCCUACGGGAGGCAGCAGUGGGGAAUAUUGCACAAUGGGGGAAACCCUGAUGCAGCGACGCCGCGUGAGUGAAGAAGCAUUUCGGUAUGUAAAGCUCUAUCAGCAGGGAAGAAAAUGACGGUACCUGACUAAGAAGCCCCGGCUAACUACGUGCCAGCAGCCGCGGUAAUACGUAGGGGGCAAGCGUUAUCCGGAUUUACUGGGUGUAAAGGGAGCGUAGACGGCGAGGCAAGUCUGAAGUGAAAGCCCGGGGCUUAACCGCGGGACUGCUUUGGAAACUGUCAUGCUAGAGUGCUGGAGAGGUAAGUGGAAUUCCUAGUGUAGCGGUGAAAUGCGUAGAUAUUAGGAGGAACACCAGUGGCGAAGGCGGCUUACUGGACAGUAACUGACGUUGAGGCUCGAAAGCGUGGGGAGCAAACCAGGAUUAGAUACCCUGGUAGUCCACGCCGUAAACGAU
RNAcentral lists this ribosomal RNA (804 nucleotides) under uncultured bacterium. RNAcentral describes it as "bacterial SSU rRNA". It matches the Rfam family "Bacterial small subunit ribosomal RNA", at positions 8 to 810 of the family's 1533-position model. The record is from RNAcentral.